GGCGGCGUGCCUAACACAUGCAAGUCGAACGAUGAUAGAAGAGCUUGCUUUUCUUGAUUAGUGGCGCACGGGUGAGUAAUGCAUAGAUAAUGUGCCCCUUAGUUCGGGAUAGCCACUGGAAACGGUGAUUAAUACCGGAUACUCCUUCUCAUUAUAAGAUGAGUCGGGAAAGUUUUUCGCUAAGGGAUCAGUCUAUGUUCCAUCAGCUUGUUGGUGAGGUAAUGGCUCACCAAGGCUAUGACGGAUAUCUGGUUUGAGAGGAUGAUCAGACACACUGGAACUGAGACACGGUCCAGACUCCUACGGGAGGCAGCAGUGAGGAAUAUUGCACAAUGGAGGAAACUCUGAUGCAGCAACGCCGCGUGGAGGAUGACGCAUUUCGGUGUGUAAACUCCUUUUAUUAGGGAAGAUAAUGACGGUACCUAAUGAAUAAGCACCGGCUAACUCCGUGCCAGCAGCCGCGGUAAUACGGAGGGUGCAAGCGUUACUCGGAAUCACUGGGCGUAAAGGGUGCGUAGGCUGGCUUUUAAGUCAGAUGUGAAAUCCAAUGGCUUAACCAUUGAACUGCAUUUGAAACUGGGAGCCUAGAGUUCAGAAGGGGCAGAUGGAAUUAGUGGUGUAGGGGUAAAAUCCGUAGAUAUCGCUAGGAAUAUCAAAAGCGAAGGCGAUCUGCUGGGAUGAUACUGACGCUGAGGCACGAAAGCGUGGGGAGCAAACAGGAUUAGAUACCCUGGUAGUCCACGCCCUAAACGAUGAAUGCUAGUCGUCGGGGAGCUCGUCUCUUCGGUGAUGCACUUAACAGAUUAAGCAUUCCGCCUGGGGAGUACGGUCGCAAGAUUAAAACUCAAAGGAAUAGACGGGGACCCGCACAAGUGGUGGAGCAUGUGGUUUAAUUCGAAGAUACACGAAGAACCUUACCUGGCCUUGACAUGGUAGGAACCCUUAAGAGAUUAGGGGGUGCUAGCUUGCUAGAACCUACACACAGGUGCUGCACGGCUGUCGUCAGCUCGUGUCGUGAGAUGUUGGGUUAAGUCCCGCAACGAGCGCAACCCUCGUCAUUAGUUGCUAACAGUUUGGCUGAGCACUCUAAUGAGACUGCCUUCGUAAGGAGGAGGAAGGUGAGGACGACGUCAAGUCAUCAUGGCCCUUACGGCCAGGGCUACACACGUGCUACAAUGGGGCGUACAGAGGGCUGCAAUACCGCGAGGUGGAGCCAAUCCCUUAAAGCGUCUCUCAGUUCGGAUUGUUCUCUGCAACUCGAGAACAUGAAGCUGGAAUCACUAGUAAUCGUAGAUCAGCUAUGCUACGGUGAAUACGUUCCCGGGUCUUGUACUCACCGCCCGUCACACCAUGGGAGUUGAUUUCACCCGAAAUCGGGAUGCCAAACUGGCUACCGCUUACGGUGGAAUUAGCGACUGGGGUGAAGUGGUAACAAGG
Molecule: ribosomal RNA, 1437 nt
Filed under: uncultured Campylobacterota bacterium
Lineage: Bacteria; Pseudomonadati; Campylobacterota
Description: uncultured Epsilonproteobacteria bacterium 16S ribosomal RNA
Rfam family: Bacterial small subunit ribosomal RNA
Source: RNAcentral